UGGGGAAUUUUGGACAAUGGGCGAAAGCCUGAUCCAGCAAUGCCGCGUGUGUGAAGAAGGCCUUCGGGUUGUAAAGCACUUUUGUCCGGAAAGAAAUCCUUGGCUCUAAUACAGUCGGGGGAUGACGGUACCGGAAGAAUAAGCACCGGCUAACUACGUGCCAGCAGCCGCGGUAAUACGUAGGGUGCAAGCGUUAAUCGGAAUUACUGGGCGUAAAGCGUGCGCAGGCGGUUUGCUAAGACCGAUGUGAAAUCCCCGGGCUCAACCUGGGAACUGCAUUGGUGACUGGCAGGCUAGAGUAUGGCAGAGGGGGGUAGAAUUCCACGUGUAGCAGUGAAAUGCGUAGAGAUGUGGAGGAAUACCGAUGGCGAAGGCAGCCCCCUGGGCCAAAUACUGACGCUCAUGCACGAAAAGCGUGGGGAGCAAACAGGAUUAGAUACCCUGGUAGUCCACGCCCUAAAACGAUGUCAACUAGUUGUUGGGGAUUCAUUUCCUUAGUAACGUAGCUAACGCGUGAAGUUGACCGCCUGGGGAGUACGGUCGCAAGAUUAAAAACUCAAAGGAAUUGACGGGGUCAUAGCUGUUUCCU
Molecule: ribosomal RNA, 589 nt
Filed under: uncultured bacterium
Lineage: Bacteria
Description: partial 16S ribosomal RNA
Rfam family: Bacterial small subunit ribosomal RNA
Source: RNAcentral